CGACUCUCAAUCGGGCAACAUUG
RNAcentral lists this microRNA (23 nucleotides) under Eisenia fetida (common brandling worm). Its description in RNAcentral is "Efe-Mir-22-P1c_5p* (star (passenger))". Lineage: Eukaryota; Metazoa; Annelida; Clitellata; Crassiclitellata; Lumbricidae. The record is from RNAcentral.